AGCGGGGCACGACUGUCCUCGCGGGGAGGCGUGCUUCUGCGUCAGGAGGGGUGACUUCUGUCCGGGACAGCGCUGGCACCGCGGCCUUCAACGAAUUGGAUGGAUCCCACCCAAAUCACGAAGGGUAAUCUGCUCUACUCAGUCUGCCAGUUCAAAUGUGAGUUUUGUGCAGAAACACCCUCGCGGACAGGUGAGUAAUGUCUGACCAAGUAUCUGGGCAUUCUGUGGUCUAGUCAAGUGGACCCAAGCAGACCCCUGUGUGCUGCUUUAUGCUUUAUGCUUAGAGGAAGACAGGAUGAGCUCUAGGCACAUCUAGGUAGGAUCUUUAAACAGGUGGAAGAGGUAACAGGCGAUACCAGCCAGCUGUCUUCUGUGCUGGUUGUUGUUAUUAUUAUUAUUAUUAUUAUCAUUAUUAUUAUUACUAUAGUUUAAGAAAAAACAUUCCUGAAGUCCACAGCAGACUUCUCACACACCUCAAUGGCCCCAAAUGGUCACCUGGCCUUUGCUUGCAAGGGGGGCAGGGCUUGGGGAAAUUGAAUAUCAAGAAAAUGGGAGUAAGAAUCAUUGUGUUUGGUCAUCUUACAGUAAUCGUGAUUGGUUUGGGCUUAUUGCUACCCCUUAUAAUCUGGGGGCUCCACUAGCUGAGAAGGGAGGGAGUGAGGCAUACAACAGUAAUAGACGUAGUUCUCAAACAGAAAUCCCAGUCCAGCCCUCCCUCUCUGAAACUGUAUCCUUGGCUUCUUUAGGACUUGGAAUGUUUAUAAACUCAAUCACAUUUGUAUAGAUAAUUUCUUGGCUUGUAAAACUUGAUUAUUAUGUUUAUUAUUAUUAUUAAACAUGUACAAAACAAACACUUUAUUUAUUAAAACUUUAUUAUUAUAAUUAUUAGGUUUGAACUUUAACAGUUUCAUUCCCAGAUGGCAGCUUUCUUUCUCCUGUUUCUAUGUCUCUUGGGGUUGGGGGAGGGUGUCCUGCCAUGGACCCUUUGUAUGGUUGAAUUGAAACUUCUCAGAGGGGAAGAUGGGGGUCCUGGCACUGACUAUUGGUCUCUGUGGCUCUGUUGAUCUGCCCAGAUCCCAGGGCAAACCACUCAUUUCCAGAGCAGGUCCCUCUCCGUUGCAAUCAAAAGACUCCCACCUUACCUUCCCACGCUGGUUCUGGCAAAUGGCCUGAAUAUGCUCACGGGUAAUGCCUGUGCUAUCCUCCUCCCCUCUCAUCCCAUUUUCUGACCCAGUGCCCCACUCAGUGCCUUGUCUUAGACUGGACCAGGGGCCAUUUCUGCACGAUGUAGAUGAGAUGUUGCUGCUUUCAUGAUUCAGAUCGUUUAUGGUGCCCACACCCGAAGAAUGAAGUCCCAGGACCUAAAAUUUAAGAUUUCUACCAAAAGAUGGAGUCGAACUGCAAUUCUUCCUGCCACCUCCCCCACAGUCUGAUCUAUCACCAAGUCCUGUCUGUGGAGCUCUUCCUUCAAAACACACACACGUGCACCCACAUGAUUUACCUCACCCUGGGUGUGAUCACUGCCUGGCCUGCUCCAGUUACCAAUCCCUCAAGGAUAGUUGGUGCUAACUUUCUCUCCUGGGGAAGCUUUACUAUCCACCCCUCCCAAUUCCCCAUGCUACCACUUUACUCUUGCACUUAGUACUGUAUGUUGCAAUCACAUACACAUCUCAAGCUAGAAUACUAGGAGUUGUGGUCUGGGUUAGUUUUAGGACAGCUGCAAUAAUUAAUGCUACUUGAACAAGAGAAUGGCUGGUCCACGCCCAUAACAGACCCUUUUCUAAAUAAUUUUUAAAGAUUUUUUUUAUUUAUUUAUUUGACAGACAGAGAUCACAAGUAGGCAGAGAGGCAGGCAGAGAGAAAGGGAGAAGCAGGCUCCCUGCUGAGCAGAGAGCCUGAUGCAGGGCUCGAUCCGAGGACCCUGGGAUCAUGACCUGAGCUGAAGGCAGAGGCUUUAACCCACUGAGCCACCCAGGUGCCCCCUAAAUAAUAAUUUUUAAAGAUUUAUUUUUAAAUUUUAAAGAUUUAUUUAUUUAUUUGAGAGAGAAAGAUACAGCAGGGGAGGGGCAGAGGGAGAGGGAAUCUCCAGCAGACUCUCACCACUGACUGUGGAGCCUGACGUGUGGUUUGAUCUCAUGACCCUAAGAUCACGACCUGAGCCAAAAUCAAGAGUCCAAUGCUCAACCGACUGAGUUACUCAGGUGCCCCUCUAAAGAAUAAUUUAUGUGAUAAAAUGAGGUAUUUCAAAUCAAUAGGGGAUACAAACAACACGGCAAUCAGCUCUUGGAAAGGGAAAGAAAUUCGUAUUUUAAAUGAAUUCUAGGAAGACUGCUGUGGUUUUGAAAUAUGUUCUCAAGUUCUUUUAUAGACUUCCUUUCAAGCAAUGGAGCUUAAGUCCCCUGUCCUUGAGGGUGGGGUGGACUUAGUGAUUUGCUUCUAAUGAAGAGCCUAGUGCAGCUGCAGAGACCAGAGCAUGAAAAGCACCAUGACUUCUGCCUCGCUCGCUCGCUCUCUCUGACCGUGGGCUGUCAUGUCAGAGGGGCACUCUAGCAGGCCACUGAGAGGCCAGUGGUGAGGGGCUGAGGCUUCCUGAGAACAGCUACGUGAGGAGCCAUCCUGGAAGCAGAUUCUCCACCCCCAGGGGCACCCCCGAGGGGACGCAGCCCCAGCCAACAACUUGCCAACUGCGACUGUGCCAUGAGAGAACUCAAGUCAGAACCAUUCAGUUAAGAUGCUCUCAACUCCCGACCCAAGGAAACUGAGAUAAUGAAUGUGAGUGGCUUUAACCCACUGAGUUUUGAGAAGUAGUAUGUCACACAGCAACACACAAAGAAUAAACCACAAAAUAUUUUUGAAAAAGAA
Mustela lutreola (European mink) is the source of this 2862-nucleotide long non-coding RNA. RefSeq lists it as uncharacterized. NCBI's taxonomy places the organism in Eukaryota, Metazoa, Chordata, Mammalia, Carnivora, Mustelidae. The record is from RefSeq and is a predicted model, not a curated record. The transcript has 2 exons.